GACUAAAUGUUAGAUAGCAUCUUUCAAAAGCCUUUGAAACAUCUUAGAGCUUUAUUCUGUAGAAAUGCCAAGAUGGGUGUUUUCUGCUUAUUCAGAAGCUCAUAACCCUUCCCUGAAAUCCUCUAAACCCUUCCUUUCAUCCCUGGCCUGUUCCAUCCCCGGUGACUGACAGGCCUGUAUUUUUUUUGCCAGCUUCUUCUGAAGUUAGAUAGUUUUGCGGGAGGGCCAAACAAAUGAUGAAGAAAGUGCUGACUGAUAGGCCUUGGUGUGAUCUGCAAUCAGCCCGUGGGCCUCAACUUCGUGACUUCUUCCAGGUAUGAUUACGAGGAGGUGGAAGCUGAGGGCGCAAACAAAAUGAUGAAGGACUUGGAGGCCCUGAUGUUUGAUCGCUCCUUUGUGGGGAAGCAGUUCUCAGCAAAUGACAAAGUUUACACUGUGGAGAAGGCCGAUAACUUUGAAUACAGCGACCCAGUGGAUGGAAGCAUUUCAAGAAAUCAGGGCUUGCGGCUCAUUUUCACAGAUGGUUCUCGAAUCAUCUUCCGACUGAGCGGCACUGGGAGUGCCGGGGCCACCAUUCGGCUGUACAUUGAUAGCUAUGAGAAGGACAUUGCC
RNAcentral lists this small RNA (612 nucleotides) under Pan troglodytes (chimpanzee). Its description in RNAcentral is "processed transcript". Lineage: Eukaryota; Metazoa; Chordata; Mammalia; Primates; Hominidae. The record is from RNAcentral.